GACGAACGCUGGCGGCGUGCUUAACACAUGCAAGUCGAACGGAAAGGCCCUGCUUUUGUGGGGUGCUCGAGUGGCGAACGGGUGAGUAACACGUGAGUAACCUGCCCUUGACUUUGGGAUAACUUCAGGAAACUGGGGCUAAUACCGGAUAGGCGCUCCUGCUGCCUGGUGGGGGUUGGUAAGUUUCGGCGGUUGGGGAUGGACUCGCGGCUUAUCUGCUUGUUGGUGGGGUAGUGGCUUACCAAGGCUUUGAUGGGUAGCCGGCCUGAGAGGGUGACCGGCGACAUUGGGGCUGAGAUACGGCCCGGACGCCUACGGGAGGCAGCAGUGGGGAAUGGUGCGGAAGGGGCGGAAGCCUGAUGCAGCAACGCCGCGUGCGGGAUGCCGGCCUUCGGGUUGUAAACCGCUUUCGCCUGUGACGAAGAGUGAGUGACGGUAAUGGGUAAAGAAGCACCGGCUAACUACGUG
This 468-nucleotide ribosomal RNA is filed under the name uncultured bacterium. RNAcentral's name for it is "partial 16S ribosomal RNA". It matches the Rfam family "Bacterial small subunit ribosomal RNA", at positions 28 to 507 of the family's 1533-position model. The record is from RNAcentral.